GGAGUUUUAAGUUAAUUAAACUGUCAGCCUUCAAAGCUGAAAAUAGGAGAUCUAGACUCUG
RNAcentral lists this transfer RNA (61 nucleotides) under Laqueus rubellus. RNAcentral's name for it is "tRNA-Trp". The record is from RNAcentral. Lineage: Eukaryota; Metazoa; Brachiopoda; Rhynchonellata; Terebratulida; Laqueidae.